This 2902-nucleotide ribosomal RNA is filed under the name Shigella flexneri. RNAcentral's name for it is "bacterial LSU rRNA". It matches the Rfam family "Bacterial large subunit ribosomal RNA". Lineage: Bacteria; Pseudomonadati; Pseudomonadota; Gammaproteobacteria; Enterobacterales; Enterobacteriaceae. The record is from RNAcentral.
UUAAGCGACUAAGCGUACACGGUGGAUGCCCUGGCAGUCAGAGGCGAUGAAGGACGUGCUAAUCUGCGAUAAGCGUCGGUAAGGUGAUAUGAACCGUUAUAACCGGCGAUUUCCGAAUGGGGAAACCCAGUGUGAUUCGUCACACUAUCAUUAACUGAAUCCAUAGGUUAAUGAGGCGAACCGGGGGAACUGAAACAUCUAAGUACCCCGAGGAAAAGAAAUCAACCGAGAUUCCCCCAGUAGCGGCGAGCGAACGGGGAGCAGCCCAGAGCCUGAAUCAGUGUGUGUGUUAGUGGAAGCGUCUGGAAAGGCGUGCGAUACAGGGUGACAGCCCCGUACACAAAAAUGCACAUACUGUGAGCUCGAUGAGUAGGGCGGGACACGUGGUAUCCUGUCUGAAUAUGGGGGGACCAUCCUCCAAGGCUAAAUACUCCUGACUGACCGAUAGUGAACCAGUACCGUGAGGGAAAGGCGAAAAGAACCCCGGCGAGGGGAGUGAAAAAGAACCUGAAACCGUGUACGUACAAGCAGUGGGAGCACGCUUAGGCGUGUGACUGCGUACCUUUUGUAUAAUGGGUCAGCGACUUAUAUUCUGUAGCAAGGUUAACCGAAUAGGGGAGCCGAAGGGAAACCGAGUCUUAACUGGGCGUUAAGUUGCAGGGUAUAGACCCGAAACCCGGUGAUCUAGCCAUGGGCAGGUUGAAGGUUGGGUAACACUAACUGGAGGACCGAACCGACUAAUGUUGAAAAAUUAGCGGAUGACUUGUGGCUGGGGGUGAAAGGCCAAUCAAACCGGGAGAUAGCUGGUUCUCCCCGAAAGCUAUUUAGGUAGCGCCUCGUGAAUUCAUCUCCGGGGGUAGAGCACUGUUUCGGCAAGGGGGUCAUCCCGACUUACCAACCCGAUGCAAACUGCGAAUACCGGAGAAUGUUAUCACGGGAGACACACGGCGGGUGCUAACGUCCGUCGUGAAGAGGGAAACAACCCAGACCGCCAGCUAAGGUCCCAAAGUCAUGGUUAAGUGGGAAACGAUGUGGGAAGGCCCAGACAGCCAGGAUGUUGGCUUAGAAGCAGCCAUCAUUUAAAGAAAGCGUAAUAGCUCACUGGUCGAGUCGGCCUGCGCGGAAGAUGUAACGGGGCUAAACCAUGCACCGAAGCCGCGGCAGCGACGCUUAUGCGUUGUUGGGUAGGGGAGCGUUCUGUAAGCCUGUGAAGGUGUGCUGUGAGGUAUGCUGGAGGUAUCAGAAGUGCGAAUGCUGACAUAAGUAACGAUAAAGCGGGUGAAAAGCCCGCUCGCCGGAAGACCAAGGGUUCCUGUCCAACGUUAAUCGGGGCAGGGUGAGUCGACCCCUAAGGCGAGGCCGAAAGGCGUAGUCGAUGGGAAACAGGUUAAUAUUCCUGUACUUGGUGUUACUGCGAAGGGGGGACGGAGAAGGCUAUGUUGGCCGGGCGACGGUUGUCCCGGUUUAAGCGUGUAGGCUGGUUUUCCAGGCAAAUCCGGAAAAUCAAGGCCGAGGCGUGAUGACGAGGCACUACGGUGCUGAAGCAACAAAUGCCCUGCUUCCAGGAAAAGCCUCUAAGCAUCAGGUAACAUCAAAUCGUACCCCAAACCGACACAGGUGGUCAGGUAGAGAAUACCAAGGCGCUUGAGAGAACUCGGGUGAAGGAACUAGGCAAAAUGGUGCCGUAACUUCGGGAGAAGGCACGCUGAUACGUAGGUGAAGCGACUUGCUCGUGGAGCUGAAAUCAGUCGAAGAUACCAGCUGGCUGCAACUGUUUAUUAAAAACACAGCACUGUGCAAACACGAAAGUGGACGUAUACGGUGUGACGCCUGCCCGGUGCCGGAAGGUUAAUUGAUGGGGUUAGCGCAAGCGAAGCUCUUGAUCGAAGCCCCGGUAAACGGCGGCCGUAACUAUAACGGUCCUAAGGUAGCGAAAUUCCUUGUCGGGUAAGUUCCGACCUGCACGAAUGGCGUAAUGAUGGCCAGGCUGUCUCCACCCGAGACUCAGUGAAAUUGAACUCGCUGUGAAGAUGCAGUGUACCCGCGGCAAGACGGAAAGACCCCGUGAACCUUUACUAUAGCUUGACACUGAACAUUGAGCCUUGAUGUGUAGGAUAGGUGGGAGGCUUUGAAGUGUGGACGCCAGUCUGCAUGGAGCCGACCUUGAAAUACCACCCUUUAAUGUUUGAUGUUCUAACGUGGACCCGUGAUCCGGGUUUCGGACAGUGUCUGGUGGGUAGUUUGACUGGGGCGGUCUCCUCCUAAAGAGUAACGGAGGAGCACGAAGGUUGGCUAAUCCUGGUCGGACAUCAGGAGGUUAGUGCAAUGGCAUAAGCCAGCUUGACUGCGAGCGUGACGGCGCGAGCAGGUGCGAAAGCAGGUCAUAGUGAUCCGGUGGUUCUGAAUGGAAGGGCCAUCGCUCAACGGAUAAAAGGUACUCCGGGGAUAACAGGCUGAUACCGCCCAAGAGUUCAUAUCGACGGCGGUGUUUGGCACCUCGAUGUCGGCUCAUCACAUCCUGGGGCUGAAGUAGGUCCCAAGGGUAUGGCUGUUCGCCAUUUAAAGUGGUACGCGAGCUGGGUUUAGAACGUCGUGAGACAGUUCGGUCCCUAUCUGCCGUGGGCGCUGGAGAACUGAGGGGGGCUGCUCCUAGUACGAGAGGACCGGAGUGGACGCAUCACUGGUGUUCGGGUUGUCAUGCCAAUGGCACUGCCCGGUAGCUAAAUGCGGAAGAGAUAAGUGCUGAAAGCAUCUAAGCACGAAACUUGCCCCGAGAUGAGUUCUCCCUGACCCUUUAAGGGUCCUGAAGGAACGUUGAAGACGACGACGUUGAUAGGCCGGGUGUGUAAGCGCAGCGAUGCGUUGAGCUAACCGGUACUAAUGAACCGUGAGGCUUAACCUU